This 463-nucleotide ribosomal RNA is filed under the name uncultured bacterium. RNAcentral describes it as "partial 16S ribosomal RNA". It matches the Rfam family "Bacterial small subunit ribosomal RNA", at positions 28 to 507 of the family's 1533-position model. The record is from RNAcentral.
GACGAACGCUGGCGGCGUGCUUAACACAUGCAAGUCGAACGGAAAGGCCCUGCUUUUGUGGGGUGCUCGAGUUGCGAACGGGUGAGUAACACGUGAGUAACCUGCCCUUGACUUUGGGAUAACUUCAUGAAACUGGGGCUAAUACCGGAUAGGAUCUCCUGCUGCUUGGUGGGGGUUGGUAAGUUUCGGCGGUUGGGGAUGGACUCGCGUUGGAUCAGCUGGUUGGUAGGGUAGUGGCUUACCAAGGUGUUGACGGGUAGCCGGCCGGGGAGGGGGACCAGCCAGGAUGGGACUGAGACACGGCCCACACUCGGGGGGGAGGCAGGGGGAGGGAAGAAAGGGGGAGGGGCGCAAGCCUGAUCCAGCCAGGCCGCGGGAGGGAGGAAUGCGGUAGGGUUGUAAAGUUCGCUUAGCAGGGAGGAUAAUGACAGUAACGGGAGAAUAAGCCCCGGCUAACUCCGUG